Molecule: ribosomal RNA, 445 nt
Filed under: uncultured bacterium
Lineage: Bacteria
Description: bacterial SSU rRNA
Rfam family: Bacterial small subunit ribosomal RNA
Source: RNAcentral
UGAGGGAAUAUUUGGGUCAAUGGGCGAGAGCCUGAACCAGCCAAGUCGUGUGAGGGAAGACGGUCCUACGGAUUGUAAACCUCUUUUGUCGGGGAGUAAUAGGCGGGACGUGUCCUGCUGUGAGAGUACCCGAAGAAAAAGCAUCGGCUAACUCCGUGCCAGCAGCCGCGGUAAUACGGAGGAUGCAAGCGUUAUCCGGAUUUAUUGGGUUUAAAGGGUGCGUAGGCUGUUUGACAAGUCAGUGGUGAAAGCCCGGGGCUUAACUCCGGAACUGCCGUUGAUACUGUUGAGCUGGAAUACGGAUGCCGUGGGAGGAAUGAGUAGUGUAGCGGUGAAAUGCAUAGAUAUUACUCAGAACACCGAUUGCGAAGGCAUCUCACGAAUCCGUCAUUGACGCUGAGGCACGAAAGCGUGGGGAUCAAACAGGAUUAGAUACCCUGGUAGU